This 58-nucleotide small RNA is filed under the name Caenorhabditis elegans. RNAcentral's name for it is "Unclassified non-coding RNA C45G7.8". Lineage: Eukaryota; Metazoa; Nematoda; Chromadorea; Rhabditida; Rhabditidae. The record is from RNAcentral.
CAAAAAAUGGUCAACUAACAAGUUGUAGAUCAUAAAAUUUUCUAUAUUUUGGUCGUUA